AAACUAUGGAGUGGACAGCUCCUUAGUAAAUCCUUGAAACGUUCCCAACAAUCGUAAAAAGUCUCAUUCUUUUACUGAAGAAACCCAGCUAUAUUAUUCCUCAACUU
Molecule: small nucleolar RNA, 107 nt
Organism: Ricinus communis (castor bean)
Lineage: Eukaryota; Viridiplantae; Streptophyta; Magnoliopsida; Malpighiales; Euphorbiaceae
Source: RefSeq, a predicted model, not a curated record